GUUAUAGAUAUCUUUGUUUACUGACAAGCAGAUGAAGACUAUCCCUAAGCACUCUGUGGAAAUUCAUUUGGAGAGACUCUGCUCUUGUUCAGGAAGAACAACAGUGUGUGUAAAGUUUGAUGGACAGUGGUGUGGCAGAGUAAACUUGAACAUCCCAGGGACCUUAUGCCAAACAGCCUUGUACCACAUACCUCAGUUCGCCUUGCUAUGCUAAGCUGGACCCUGCUCCUAAUGUUAUGAAGGCAUCUGCAUUCAUAGAGUCUCCAUUGCUUGGUUUAUAUGCUAUCAUUUGGAGGGCCUACACUCUACUAUCUGUCAUCCAAGGAUGAGGUGUGGACAAUCCGUUUUCCCAGUAAGAAGUUAAAGAAAACCUGAAGUAAGGAGAAUAAUUGGAUGCCUCUAUUAGUUGCUAUUCUGUGCCCCUUCUCUCCCUGCAGUAUGACACAGAGCAUAUAGAGGCUCCUAAGAGCUGAGAAACGGAGGUAUUUGUUAUGUCAUCGUCCUCUUCACUGAAGAGCUCUGGCACUUCACAAGAGACAGGCAACUAUCUCAGAGGAUUAGGGUGAGUCACAAGAGGAUCCUCUGAUUGUCUGACAGCUCUGUGAGUUUCCUGGCACUUGUACUCUUGGAAUUUAGUCUGUGUCAAUUAUAUCUGGAAAUGGAACACAUCAUCCAGCUACUCCAAAACGCUUUCUGGUUUUAUCUUGUCCUUCAGGAACAUGAGAGUUCAAGUUGUGAAUGGAAAAUCUCUAUGCCGCAAAUUGCUGAAUGUGUAAACAAAUGCCCCCUCCCCUUCAUAUGUUUCCUUUCCUGGGCUGUGCGGUUAUUUCUCCUCUUUCACUCCUUUCUAAUUCCUCUUUGUAGGAGGAAUUUGUCAUGACAUUGUGGAACUGGGACCACAAGAUUAUAAUGACAACGUGCGAAAUAGAAACCUCUGUCUAUCACUUUGCAAUCAGCACUCUGCAACACUUUCCUGGCUUCUCUCCAGUCUCCGAGUUAUGUUUUUAUCAGAUGGUUUGCUUUUAUUUUUUUUUCAUCAACUCAGUCCUCCUGUGCUUUUUGAAAGCUGAGCUGCCUCUCUCUUGACUCUGCCUCAAACACAAAUGCUUAAGGUCUCAGAAGUGUGAAAUUAAAGCAUGCAUUGAAAUGAGACUCAGAAGUCAGGCUUGUGUUCUUGCCCUGUGUCUGCAGAGUGGGUUUUGUCCCACUUUCAUAGGAUAAAGGAGCCUUCACGUUCACUGUUUGUGACGUGAAUAACUGUAGGGGAACAGAGCAAAGCAGCAAUGCUUGGGUAACGAGGAAUCCUCCUAUUCCUCAGCAUCAUCCUGUGACAGAGGGUGAGCCUGCAGUGCUGUUCUGUGGCUGAACUGGUUUGUGACGUACUUAACCUAACAUAUGAACUGUCACAACAUAGGAAGAAGAGGCCAUCUAAAAGUUACAUGAAACUCAAAAAAUAGGUAAAAUGAAAGGACAAAACAGAAGUUUCUCAAGAGAAGUUUCCAGCCACUCCAGCUAAAGACAUUUCUUCUUUGCUAGUGCCAAAAUAUGCCAUACUUUACAUCCUCCUUUUUGAAAACCUUGGGGUGUGUGAUUAAACUUAUGUUUUUAGGAUAAUUUUGGUAUUAAAGUGCCUCCUCUAAUGCCUGUGGCACUUUUUUUCAAGGAGAGGAAGCAGAAAGGAAAAAUGAGGAUAAAAUCAAUUAAGCGGGGGGAAAAUAAUCUCUUUCUUUAGAAAGCCAUUUUUAAAAUUCUCACAUAAAUUAUUUUUGAUUGGCUAGCUUAAAAUAGCAGGAUGGUAUUGGAACCAAGGAUGGUAUUUCUGGUUCCUACUAACCUGUUGGCUCAAUGCAGGCAAAUGCAGCAUGUUGCUUACUCUACUUACAUGCACACUGCUUCCACUGUCAGCAAUGUUCACUGCUCUUGUU
Molecule: non-coding RNA, 1925 nt
Organism: Coturnix japonica (Japanese quail)
Lineage: Eukaryota; Metazoa; Chordata; Aves; Galliformes; Phasianidae
Source: RefSeq, a predicted model, not a curated record